Molecule: long non-coding RNA, 1494 nt
Organism: Fundulus heteroclitus (mummichog)
Lineage: Eukaryota; Metazoa; Chordata; Actinopteri; Cyprinodontiformes; Fundulidae
Exons: 5
Source: RefSeq, a predicted model, not a curated record
AUCCUACGGAUUUUAGGAAUGAAUAACAGAAAUAAAAUCCACCUUUAAAAUGUUACAUUUAACAGUUGACUCACGGAGGCUGGAGAGGCUGCGGAGCUCCCCACAGCUCACACCUACAAUGGGCCCCGCUGGAGUCACGCAGGAGGCCCUCGAUCCGCCUGUCUGAACCGGUCUAAUAUAGGACGGAGACGUUUGGCCAUCAUAUAUGAAGCAUUUUUCCGCUAUUUCGGGACUUAUCCAAGCGUGCGCGCACGCAUCUCAGGGAUCUAAAUUCAAACUUUCUGUAAGGAUAUUCUAACAAGGACAUUUUUAAAUUAACUUUUUUUUUUAGGUGGAGGCAAUACUUGGAAGGUUUUUUUUUCCUUUCUCCUAUAUUAUUAUUUUUUCCCCCGGAGUGAUACUCGGCUGUAUUCCUCCUGAAUGUUCCUGGAAAUGUUGGAGAGCAAAACGGCGUUGGAUGGUAGCCGCUCUGAGAGGCCCGUUAGAAGGGAGGAUGAGAGAUGGUGAUGGAGAUGGAGCGUCGCUGCUUUAGGAGCGGAGCUUUGAUGCGCUUUGACGCAGGAGGGAGUGGAGGGAUGCGCGGAGCAGAAAGCCCUCUACCGAAGCACAGUGAACUCUUUCAAUAAUACUUGCAGGGUUGAGCAUCAGUCCACUGCAUUGUCCAUUUACAAACCGAGUUGCUUCAAGAGACUCCGCGCUGAUCGAUUAUCUGUUAAAGCAUAUAUUAUUAAGAUGCGCCGUAAACAGGCACAGUCUCUGUUGAAAGUAAACAUCUACAGCAUGGACGGUGGAGAGGGUAAAAUCGUGAUAGAGGCCUUUGGUUGACUCUCGGAUUUCUUUGCAUGGAUUGCAUCAGUCCCACUCUCGCCAUUCAGCCGGCGCUGUUGUUGGGAUGGGCAUGAAAUACACUGGCGACCAGUCCAGAGUGUACCCUGCCUCUCGCCUAAUGACUGCUGGAGACAGGCACCAGCCCCGCCCACAACGCUGCUCGGAUAAGCAGUGCUACCAUCAUUAAAGCUCAAGACUGCCGGUGGGCUGCAGCUGUGUGGAGAAAUGGUGGAGAAGCAACCUGCUUUACAGAAAAGCGGACAAUUUCUGGAGUGACUCCUUCUGAGAAAACAAAGACAGGUAAAUAUCGGAGCAGCACAGCAAGCUCCACUGUGGAGUAGGAGCUGUGGAGGGAGGGCUAUAGCGCAGUAGAGAGCAAGGGGGAGUGACCUUUAUGGUGUGCUUGUUGAAGUCCACGUUAUUCUAAAAACUUUCUACUCCAGCUUUAACUCACAGGACAUUUUCUGUCCUUUUCUACACCUAAAUGAGGCAAAGAAAAGACCAGUGCCCGAAAUCACAAAGAUUAUCUGAGUCCUCUCAGAGAGCUUCUAUCUUAACCUGAAAAUUCCUACCAGGGAGUUUUAGCUUACGAUUGAUCCAGAUAGUUGCUGAGAGCGACUCGGAGUAAGGCAAUUACAGAAAUGUUUAUUUUAGUAAGGAGGUGUG